AUGCAAGUUCCUGUCCUUGAGUGAAAAGGGACUGGGGCUUCGCCAGCUACAACUGCCCUGCAAGAGAGUAACAGCUUGCCAAUGACUCUAUAUUGAGAAAACCAGAGACAUGUAUUGGAGAGAAGAAAGAUGUAUUCAAAAUUGUGCUACCCAAGUGUGGUUGCCAAACUUUGAAUUUCACAAGCGAGAUGAACACCACAAAAGCAAGAAACUGCAUCUCUUGGACCACCUAGCGUAUUGUGAGGAGGACUUGAUAUGCUGAAGUUGCAUCCAGUGCUACCAAUGCAAAGAGCCCAUGUGACAGCCAAAUGGACUGAUGUCAUCUCAGCCCAGAUGAAAGCAAUCUGCCAGCAAUGACAGCUCUGCCAGGACUCACCAACCCCCCUCCCCCCACCCCCAGUGACAGCUAUAGAGAGCACUAUGUUUGACAUGG
Physeter macrocephalus (sperm whale) is the source of this 433-nucleotide long non-coding RNA. RefSeq lists it as uncharacterized. NCBI's taxonomy places the organism in Eukaryota, Metazoa, Chordata, Mammalia, Artiodactyla, Physeteridae. The record is from RefSeq and is a predicted model, not a curated record. The transcript is spliced from 3 exons.